Molecule: ribosomal RNA, 573 nt
Filed under: uncultured Eubacteriales bacterium
Lineage: Bacteria; Bacillati; Bacillota; Clostridia; Eubacteriales
Description: bacterial SSU rRNA
Rfam family: Bacterial small subunit ribosomal RNA
Source: RNAcentral
CUUAGAGUUUGAUCAUGGCUCAGUGACAAACGCUGGCGGCGUGCCUAACACAUGCAAGUCGAACGGACGAGGGGAGCUUGCUCCCUGAGUUAGUGGCGGACGGGUGAGUAAUACGUGAGCAACCUGCCUUUCAGAGGGGAACAACAGCUGGAAACGGCUGCUAAUACCGCAUGAUAUAUAUCUAGGGCAUCCUUAAUAUAUCAAAGAUUUAUCGCUGAAAGAUGGGCUCACGUCUGAUUAGCUAGUUGGUGAGGUAAUGGCUCACCAAGGCUGCGAUCAGUAGCCGGACUGAGAGGUCGAACGGCCACAUUGGGACUGAGAUACGGCCCAGACUCCUACGGGAGGCAGCAGUGGGGAAUAUUGGGCAAUGGGGGAAACCCUGACCCAGCAACGCCGCGUGAAGGAAGAAGGCUUUCGGGUUGUAAACUUCUUUUACCAGGGAAGAAUAAAAUGACGGUACCUGGAGAAUAAGCCACGGCUAACUACGUGCCAGCAGCCGCGGUAAUACGUAGGUGGCAAGCGUUGUCCGGAUUUACUGGGUGUAAAGGGCGCGUACGCGGGAUUACAAGUCAC